AUAGGCUACAGGUGUACGCACAGUAAUGUGUUUAGCCGAGUAGUACUAAUAAGUCGAUUGGCUUAAUCAUUUUUUAUUAUUGUUGGGU
Molecule: ribosomal RNA, 88 nt
Filed under: Chlorobiaceae bacterium
Lineage: Bacteria; Pseudomonadati; Chlorobiota; Chlorobiia; Chlorobiales; Chlorobiaceae
Description: partial 23S ribosomal RNA
Source: RNAcentral